This 253-nucleotide ribosomal RNA is filed under the name uncultured bacterium. RNAcentral's name for it is "partial 16S ribosomal RNA". It matches the Rfam family "Bacterial small subunit ribosomal RNA", at positions 524 to 776 of the family's 1533-position model. The record is from RNAcentral.
UACGUAGGUGGCGAGCGUUGUCCGGAUUUACUGGGCGUAAAGAGCGCGCAGGCGGUCGUCCAAGUCGCGUGUGAAAGCCCCCGGCUCAACUGGGGAGGGUCACGCGAUACUGAUCGACUCGAAGGCAGGAGAGGGAAGCGGAAUUCCCGGUGUAGUGGUGAAAUGCGUAGAUAUCGGGAGGAACACCAGUGGCGAAGGCGGCGACCUGGACGGACACUGACGCUGAGACGCGAAAGCGUGGGGAGCAAACAGG